UGGGGAAUAUUGGACAAUGGGCGAAAGCCUGAUCCAGCCAUGCCGCGUGUGUGAAGAAGGUCUUCGGAUUGUAAAGCACUUUAAGUUGGGAGGAAGGGCAGUAAGCGAAUACCUUGCUGUUUUGACGUUACCGACAGAAUAAGCACCGGCUAACUCUGUGCCAGCAGCCGCGGUAAUACAGAGGGUGCAAGCGUUAAUCGGAAUUACUGGGCGUAAAGCGCGCGUAGGUGGUUCGUUAAGUUGAAUGUGAAAGCCCCGGGCUCAACCUGGGAACUGCAUCCAAAACUGGCGAGCUAGAGUAGGGCAGAGGGUGGUGGAAUUUCCUGUGUAGCGGUGAAAUGCGUAGAUAUAGGAAGGACCACCAGUGGCGAAGGCGACCACCUGGGCUCAUACUGACACUGAGGUGCGAAAGCGUGGGGAGCAAACAGG
Molecule: ribosomal RNA, 429 nt
Filed under: Pseudomonadota bacterium
Lineage: Bacteria; Pseudomonadati; Pseudomonadota
Description: Proteobacteria bacterium partial 16S ribosomal RNA
Rfam family: Bacterial small subunit ribosomal RNA
Source: RNAcentral